AUACGGAGGAUCCGAGCGUUAUCCGGAUUUAUUGGGUUUAAAGGGUGCGCAGGCGGGAGAUUAAGUCGGCGGUGAAAUUUUUCAGCUCAACUGUAAAAGAGCCUUCGAAACUGGGUUCCUUGAGUGUAGAUGAAGUAGGCGGAAUUUGUGGGGUAGCGGUGAAAUGCAUAGAUAUCACGAGGAACUCCGAUUGCGCAGGCAGCUUACUAAACUACUACUGACGCUCAGGCACGAAGGCGUGGGGAUCAAACAGGAUUAGAUACCCUGGUAGUCCACGCAGUAAACGAUGAUUACUAGCUGUUUGCGAUACAAUGUAAGCGGCUGAGCGAAAGCGUUAAGUAAUCCACCUGGGGAGUACGUUCGCAAGAAUGAAACUCAAAUGAAUUGACGGGG
RNAcentral lists this ribosomal RNA (393 nucleotides) under uncultured bacterium. RNAcentral's name for it is "partial 16S ribosomal RNA". It matches the Rfam family "Bacterial small subunit ribosomal RNA", at positions 523 to 918 of the family's 1533-position model. The record is from RNAcentral.